UCCCGCAGGGAUCAGUAGAGUGGCAAACGGGUGAGUAACGCGUGGGUGACCUGCCUUCGAGUGGGGGAUAACGUUCCGAAAGAAGCGCUAAUACCGCAUGACAUCCUGUUCUUGAACGGAUGGAGAUCAAAGCCGGGGACCGCAAGGCCUGGCGCUCGAAGAGGGGCCCGCGUCCGAUUAGCUAGUUGGUGAGGUAACGGCUCACCAAGGCAACGAUCGGUAGCCGGCCUGAGAGGGCGGACGGCCACACUGGGACUGAGACACGGCCCAGACUCCUACGGGAGGCAGCAGUAGGGAAUUGUUCGCAAUGGGCGCAAGCCUGACGACGCAACGCCGCGUGGAGGAUGAAGAUCUUCGGGUCGUAAACUCCUUUCGAUCGAGACGGAUGAUCUCCGGGUGAACAAUCCGGAGGAAUGACGGUACCGAGAGAAGAAGCCCCGGCUAACUCCGUGCCAGCAGCCGCGGUAAUACGGGGGGGGCAAGCGUUGUUCGGAAUUACUGGGCGUAAAGGGCUCGUAGGCGGCCAACUAAGUCGGACGUGAAAUCCCUCGGCUUAACCGGGGAACUG
This 568-nucleotide ribosomal RNA is filed under the name uncultured earthworm intestine bacterium. Its description in RNAcentral is "bacterial SSU rRNA". It matches the Rfam family "Bacterial small subunit ribosomal RNA", at positions 75 to 623 of the family's 1533-position model. The record is from RNAcentral.